This is a long non-coding RNA of Tyto alba (common barn owl), 550 nucleotides long. RefSeq lists it as uncharacterized. The transcript has 3 exons. Lineage: Eukaryota; Metazoa; Chordata; Aves; Strigiformes; Tytonidae. The record is from RefSeq and is a predicted model, not a curated record.
GCUCCGGCUUUUGCCCUGACAUCCAGACACAUCCCCCCAGUGCCGCCCUCCUGGCACUCGGAAGGAAUUCCUGGAGGGGGCCAGACUCCAGGGCCCGAUCCCAGGGAAAGGCGCUUUUCCCAGCCCAGCGAGCCCCUGGGACCCCAUCACCUCUGCCCCUCCCUCUCUGCACACACCCCCCCCCCCAUCCCCUGCUUUGUGGAGGGGGGGCUGACCAGUUUUUGAGGGGCCAGAGGCACCGUGGCGGGAUGUGCCUCCCAGGGCUGAGCUCUGGCUGCUUUGCUCGUGACCAGCGCCAGGAGGACGGGUGGUCGCUGAGACCUGACGCACUCAGUGCACGGACGUGUGACCCCAGUGAGCCCUCCCCGUGGGGCGCAGGACACACUGGAUCCGCACGGAGCCGGGGCCGAUGCGCUGGGGAAGAGCGAGCCGCCGGUGGCUGAGGACAGAGCUCACUGAAUCUACAGCUGUACUCACAACCCAGAAAAAAAGAGAGAGCGCACGCGCGAGAGGAAAAUACUGAAGUAUUUCUACAGAGUAUUUGUUCCAG